GACGAACGCUGGCGGCGUGCUUAACACAUGCAAGUCGAACGGAAAGGCCCUGCUUUUGUGGGGUGCUCGAUUGGCGAACGGGUGAGUAACACGUGAGUAACCUGCCCUUGACUUUGGGAUAACUUCAGGAAACUGGGGCUAAGACCGGAUAGGAUCUCCUGCUGCAUGGUGGGGGUUGGAAAGUUUCGGCGGUUGGGGAUGGACUCGCGGCUUAUCAGCUUGUUGGUGGGGUAGUGGCUUACCAAGGCUUUGGCGGGUAGCCGACUGGGAGGGUGACCGGCCACAUUGGGACUGAGAUACGGCACCGACUCGUAAGGGAGGCCGCAGUGCGGAAUCUUGCACCAUGGGCGGAGGCCUGAUGAAGCAACGCCGCGUGCGGGAUGACGGCCUUCGGGUUGUAAACCGCCUUCGCCUGUGACGAAGCGUGAGUGACGGUAAUGGGUAAAGAAGCACCGGCUAACUACGUG
RNAcentral lists this ribosomal RNA (467 nucleotides) under uncultured bacterium. RNAcentral describes it as "partial 16S ribosomal RNA". It matches the Rfam family "Bacterial small subunit ribosomal RNA", at positions 28 to 507 of the family's 1533-position model. The record is from RNAcentral.